Molecule: non-coding RNA, 3081 nt
Organism: Pelobates cultripes (western spadefoot toad)
Lineage: Eukaryota; Metazoa; Chordata; Amphibia; Anura; Pelobatidae
Source: the annotation of a GenBank genome assembly
UAGAUUAGGCUAAUGUAUUUUAUUUGAAGGCAUUAUUGCACACAUGAUGGAUACAUUAGUACAGACAGGUGACAUGUCAUAGUAAAGAGCAAUUCUGAAACAUCAACUCUUCCUCAGUUUUGUGCGUAUUUCAUCUUCAAGACAGGUAACCGUUAAGACACUGACAUUCCGCAGAAAAUUGGUUUUGCGAUAAAUACUGCAGAUACAGCACAUGCGACAGUUUACAUGUAAAACGCAGCCACUCAUCAAGCUACCGAAGUGAUUACAUUUUCUAGACAUUAUUCCAAUGUAAGAAGCAGCAAUUGAUGAACCGGUCUUCAGUUAAUCUAGAUGAGGUUGCCCAACAAGAACCAUCAUGCCAAUUUUUUUUUUGAGUGCGUGUGUGUUGUACAGUCUACUCCUGACCCCGAGUGCCUGUUCUUUCAUCAGAGAUUAUGUGCAUUCUCCAUUGACCAAGAAAAGAAAAUUAUCGAAACCUCAGUUAGGUGAAUCUUCAUAAAUUUUUGUUUGCUUUUGAUUUCACCGAUAUAAACAGUCCACACUAUGAAGCUAAUGACAAAUCCCUUCUAAUGCAUUUCAGUAAAGUUCCAGCGGGGGAGGAGGGGGAGGAUCAAAGCAAUUAUAGUAUGAGAAGGCCACGGCAGGAACAGCCAUUUUUUCAGUUUGUUUAUUUGCAAAACCAAUAGGUUUUAAACAUCCAGUGUACUCUUUCCUCUUAAGACAAAAUAAACCAGAAGCAAACAAACAAACAAAAAUCCUUCUUUUAGGAAACUAAACAGAAGUAUUUCCUUUCUAACAGUACUGGCCAACUAAGACUGUUGCCAAUCACAAAAUAAUAAUUGAAAUGUGCAAAGUUUUUCUUACCACUCUCUCAGUGUCGGAUCAGCAGCACUAGUGAGAAAAUCUCAGCAGGCUAAAUAAGAUUGGGCAAUGUUAGGUAGCAAAAACCAAAGAAAAAAAAAUAUGGUUUUUACUAUAUGUAUUUUGGCUGAUGUGUACUAUGGUCGUUGCUGCUGCCCAGGAAUAAUGGGAGUUUGAGCGCAGGACUUGUUUCUUUGUGUUUGUUUUCAAUGUUAGGUAGCAGCUGAAGCGGCAAUAGGUAUUACCCCUAGAAACAGGGAAAAGUGCACUUUCCAUAAACUGCCCUUAAAUAACCUGCCCCAAGUGACCCUGUGACACUAGCUACAGGGAUUGUGGCACAAUUCACAUUGAUUGUCCCCUGUAACUACAACACUGGCAGAUAAAGAAAUAGUUGUACGGUACUGAUUCACUUCGUAUGAAAACACAAUUAAUGUCCGUUCAAACCGUGUCCUCAGCAAUCUUUUACACACAAAGAUUAAUCUUCGCUUAUAUAUUUUUCUUUCUUCCAAAUAUAUAAACCAGACUCCGAAAGCAUAAGACAUUCACAACACUAACACGUCUCAUGUAUAUUGGAAUACAAAAACAUCAAAAGGAUGUUGCAAGCCAGAGAUAAACCUUGUCAACCUAUCUGAUCUUCAAAUCAGGAAUAAGGUCAAACAAAUGGUAGAACAAUUCAGAUUUUAUCUAAAUCAGUGUUCAUGGUUGUGAGUUAGCCAGGUCCACACUGCUACAGGAUUUAUUCCUAAACCCACAUGUUUACUCAAAAGGGUUCUCAAAGGCAAUAUCACACUAUUAAAGGUUAACUAAUUCUCUGUGUUUUCUAAUAAUAUGUUUAGGCUUAUUUGCAUUUUUAGGUUUUUUGAAGUUUUAUGGGUCAUCAAAGCUUAAACUGUUGGUCACCAUAACUAGAAGGGUAUUAGCCAUACAUCACUGACACGGAUAAAGGGUCCGAUAUAUCACCUGAGAUUAUUUGUAUAGAUCUCCUGCAGAGGAGACCUACCUAGCAUAUAGAUUCUGGGACUGGCCUUGUGGGUAAAAAUCAGUCUGAUAAACAAAUGUUAUAGUGUUUCUCUGCAAUGGCACAUGUAACAAAUCAAUUUAGAUUGUUUGUCCCAAUUUGUUUUACUUAUUUUCAGAGCACUUUUAUCAGAAAUUGUAUUAAUCCCACGUGUCUCCCAAAAUAGAACAAGCAUUAGCAUGCCCAUAAAACAUAAAAAAACUUGAUGAGUACACAAUGAUAUUUCAAAGAACUAUAAACGAAGACAAAGGACAAUGUACACUUUAGCAACUGUGAAAAGAUACGGCUUUCAUAAGCCACUUUAUUAAGUGUACAAAGGAUUAGAAGAUCAGAUGUGUCUUGUUUAGAACAAAAUGGAUUCGCUCAUAGGUUCUUUGAGUAAACUCGUUCUAUUCUGGACAAACGCGUCAGAUGUUUUAAUGCUUUGUACACUUCUUAAUGAGCCUUGUGGAAGGCAUUUUGGAAGCACCUGUGCCGGACAAGGCUGAUUGCCUUUUCCUGGAAUGAGGCGGAUUAUACCCUUUUGCAUACAGCAGCUCUUUUUGCAGUAAUUGGAGCUGUAUGAAAAUAGAGAGAGUGUAUACCAAGGCCAAUUUUCCCAGCAUAGAAUUAUAUACUGUGGUGCAACAGCUUAAAACGUAAAAACACAAUACCUCUAGAAAUAUUCCAAAGCAUAUAAUUUUAUACAAUACUUUACUCAAACUGUGGCAAUAUAGAAAGUACAAAACAUUAUGUGAAACUAUUUGAGCUUUAACAGGCAAUUCAUAAUUAGACUUAACAGCAGUUCAUCCAUAUUUCUACUAGUUUCCUAAAAACAUCAUGUGCAUGUAAACCAAUGCGGCACAUUUAUUAACAUGUUUGAAAUGCAGAUGUGUGUUGUGUUAGUCGGGUAAAGAGGUUUAUUGUAUUACUUAAUAGAGUUAUCAACCUGUAAAUACACCUUAGCCUUUACUUGGAAUAUAAAUAAAGUAUGCUACCGUGCUUCAAUUACUUAAAUGUGGUGAUCAGGACAGACUGCUGCUGCCAUCCACUGGUGGGUUACUAAAAUAGUUGACUAUGAUCCAUGCACAUUGGCUUUUGAUUUCCAUUUUUAUUUUCAUCCUGACACACCACAUUUAAACACUAUUUUAGCACUGUAUUUCCAAUAAACGCAGAGAUACAGUUGCAAGAAAAAGUAUGUGAACCCUUUGGAAUGAUAUGGA